RNAcentral lists this ribosomal RNA (292 nucleotides) under uncultured bacterium. RNAcentral describes it as "partial 16S ribosomal RNA". It matches the Rfam family "Bacterial small subunit ribosomal RNA", at positions 505 to 796 of the family's 1533-position model. The record is from RNAcentral.
GUGCCAGCAGCCGCGGUAAUACGGAGGGUGCAAGCGUUGUUCGGAAUUACUGGGCGUAAAGCGCGUGUAGGCGGCUUCUUAAGUCUGGUGUGAAAGCCCGGGGCUCACCCCCGGAAGUGCAUUGGAUACUGGGAAGCUAGAGUACCGGAGAGGAAGGUGGAAUUCCUGGUGUAGCGGUGAAAUGCGUAGAUAUCAGGAGGAACACCGGUGGCGAAGGCGACCUUCUGGACGGAUACUGACGCUGAGACGCGAAAGCGUGGGGAGCAAACAGGAUUAGAAACCCUUGUAGUCC